AGAGUUUGAUCCUGGCUCAGAACGAACGCUGGCGGCAGGCUUAACACAUGCAAGUCGAGCGCCCAGCAAUGGGAGCGGCGGACGGGUGAGUAGCACGUGGGAACAUGCCCUUCGGUACGGGACAACUCAGGGAAACUUGAGCUAAUACCGCAUACGCCCUAACGGGGAAAGAUUUAUCGCCGAAGGAUUGGCCCGCGUCUGAUUAGCUAGUUGGUGAGGUAACGGCUCACCAAGGCUUCGAUCAGUAGCUGGUUUGAGAGAGCGACCAGCCACACUGGGACUGAGACACGGCCCAGACUCCUACGGGAGGCAGCAGUGGGGAAUCUUGGACAAUGGGGGAAACCCUGAUCCAGCCAUGCCGCGUGAGUGAUGAAGGCCCUAGGGUUGUAAAACUCUUUCGGCGGGG
Molecule: ribosomal RNA, 406 nt
Filed under: uncultured bacterium
Lineage: Bacteria
Description: bacterial SSU rRNA
Rfam family: Bacterial small subunit ribosomal RNA
Source: RNAcentral